RNAcentral lists this ribosomal RNA (475 nucleotides) under uncultured bacterium. RNAcentral's name for it is "bacterial SSU rRNA". It matches the Rfam family "Bacterial small subunit ribosomal RNA", at positions 29 to 506 of the family's 1533-position model. The record is from RNAcentral.
UUGAACGCUGGCGGCAUGCCUUACACAUGCAAGUCGAACGGUAACGGGUUAAGCCGACGCGUGGCGAACGGGUGAGUAAUAUAUCGGAACGUGCCCAAUCGUGGGGGAUAACGCAGCGCAAGUUGUGCUAAUACCGCAUAAGAUCUACGGAUGAAAGCGGGGGAUCGCAAGCCCUCGCGCGAGUGGAGCGGCCGCUAUCAGAUUAGCUAGUUGGUGGGGUAAAGGCCCACCAAGGCGACGAUCUGUAGCUGGUCUGAGAGGACGACCAGCCACACUGGGACUGAGACACGGCCCAGACGCCUACGGGAGGCAGCAGUGGGGAAUUUUGGACAAUGGGCGCAAGCCUGAUCCAGCAAUGCCGCGUGCAGGAUGAAGGCCUGCGGGUUGUAAACUGCGUUGGUACGGAGCGAAAAGGGCUGCCCUAAUACGGUGGGCUCAUGACGGUACCGUAAGAAUAAGCACCGGCUAACUACGU